UUAAGUUAUUAAGGGCGCACGGUGGAUGCCUUGGCACUAGAAGCCGAUGAAGGACGUUACUAACGACGAUAUGCUUUGGGGAGCUGUAAGUAAGCUUUGAUCCAGAGAUUUCCGAAUGGGGAAACCCAGCAUGAGUUAUGUCAUGUUAUCGAUAUGUGAAUACAUAGCAUAUCAGAAGGCACACCCGGAGAACUGAAACAUCUUAGUACCCGGAGGAAGAGAAAGAAAAUUCGAUUCCCUUAGUAGCGGCGAGCGAAACGGGAAGAGCCCAAACCAACAAGCUUGCUUGUUGGGGUUGUAGGACACUCUGUACGGAGUUACAAAGGACGACAUUAGACGAAUCAUCUGGAAAGAUGAAUCAAAGAAGGUAAUAAUCCUGUAGUCGAAAAUGUUGUCUCUCUUGAGUGGAUCCUGAGUACGACGGAGCACGUGAAAUUCCGUCGGAAUCUGGGAGGACCAUCUCCUAAGGCUAAAUACUCUCUAGUGACCGAUAGUGAACCAGUACCGUGAGGGAAAGGUGAAAAGCACCCCGGAAGGGGAGUGAAAUAGAACCUGAAACCGUGUGCUUACAAGUAGUCAGAGCCCGUUAAUGGGUGAUGGCGUGCCUUUUGUAGAAUGAACCGGCGAGUUACGAUUUGAUGCAAGGUUAAGCAGUAAAUGUGGAGCCGUAGCGAAAGCGAGUCUGAAUAGGGCGUUUAGUAUUUGGUCGUAGACCCGAAACCAGGUGAUCUACCCUUGGUCAGGUUGAAGUUCAGGUAACACUGAAUGGAGGACCGAACCGACUUACGUUGAAAAGUGAGCGGAUGAACUGAGGGUAGCGGAGAAAUUCCAAUCGAACCUGGAGAUAGCUGGUUCUCUCCGAAAUAGCUUUAGGGCUAGCCUCAAGUGAUGAUUAUUGGAGGUAGAGCACUGUUUGGACGAGGGGCCCCUCUCGGGUUACCGAAUUCAGACAAACUCCGAAUGCCAAUUAAUUUAACUUGGGAGUCAGAACAUGGGUGAUAAGGUCCGUGUUCGAAAGGGAAACAGCCCAGACCACCAGCUAAGGUCCCAAAAUAUAUGUUAAGUGGAAAAGGAUGUGGCGUUGCCCAGACAACUAGGAUGUUGGCUUAGAAGCAGCCAUCAUUUAAAGAGUGCGUAAUAGCUCACUAGUCGAGUGACACUGCGCCGAAAAUGUACCGGGGCUAAACAUAUUACCGAAGCUGUGGAUUGUCCUUUGGACAAUGGUAGGAGAGCGUUCUAAGGGCGUUGAAGCAUGAUCGUAAGGACAUGUGGAGCGCUUAGAAGUGAGAAUGCCGGUGUGAGUAGCGAAAGACGGGUGAGAAUCCCGUCCACCGAUUGACUAAGGUUUCCAGAGGAAGGCUCGUCCGCUCUGGGUUAGUCGGGUCCUAAGCUGAGGCCGACAGGCGUAGGCGAUGGAUAACAGGUUGAUAUUCCUGUACCACCUAUAAUCGUUUUAAUCGAUGGGGGGACGCAGUAGGAUAGGCGAAGCGUGCGAUUGGAUUGCACGUCUAAGCAGUAAGGCUGAGUAUUAGGCAAAUCCGGUACUCGUUAAGGCUGAGCUGUGAUGGGGAGAAGACAUUGUGUCUUCGAGUCGUUGAUUUCACACUGCCGAGAAAAGCCUCUAGAUAGAAAAUAGGUGCCCGUACCGCAAACCGACACAGGUAGUCAAGAUGAGAAUUCUAAGGUGAGCGAGCGAACUCUCGUUAAGGAACUCGGCAAAAUGACCCCGUAACUUCGGGAGAAGGGGUGCUCUUUAGGGUUAACGCCCAGAAGAGCCGCAGUGAAUAGGCCCAAGCGACUGUUUAUCAAAAACACAGGUCUCUGCUAAACCGUAAGGUGAUGUAUAGGGGCUGACGCCUGCCCGGUGCUGGAAGGUUAAGAGGAGUGGUUAGCUUCUGCGAAGCUACGAAUCGAAGCCCCAGUAAACGGCGGCCGUAACUAUAACGGUCCUAAGGUAGCGAAAUUCCUUGUCGGGUAAGUUCCGACCCGCACGAAAGGCGUAACGAUUUGGGCACUGUCUCAACGAGAGACUCGGUGAAAUCAUAGUACCUGUGAAGAUGCAGGUUACCCGCGACAGGACGGAAAGACCCCGUGGAGCUUUACUGUAGCCUGAUAUUGAAAUUCGGCACAGCUUGUACAGGAUAGGUAGGAGCCUUUGAAACGUGAGCGCUAGCUUACGUGGAGGCGCUGGUGGGAUACUACCCUAGCUGUGUUGGCUUUCUAACCCGCACCACUUAUCGUGGUGGGAGACAGUGUCAGGCGGGCAGUUUGACUGGGGCGGUCGCCUCCUAAAAGGUAACGGAGGCGCUCAAAGGUUCCCUCAGAAUGGUUGGAAAUCAUUCAUAGAGUGUAAAGGCAUAAGGGAGCUUGACUGCGAGACCUACAAGUCGAGCAGGGUCGAAAGACGGACUUAGUGAUCCGGUGGUUCCGCAUGGAAGGGCCAUCGCUCAACGGAUAAAAGCUACCCCGGGGAUAACAGGCUUAUCUCCCCCAAGAGUUCACAUCGACGGGGAGGUUUGGCACCUCGAUGUCGGCUCAUCGCAUCCUGGGGCUGUAGUCGGUCCCAAGGGUUGGGCUGUUCGCCCAUUAAAGCGGUACGCGAGCUGGGUUCAGAACGUCGUGAGACAGUUCGGUCCCUAUCCGUCGUGGGCGUAGGAAAUUUGAGAGGAGCUGUCCUUAGUACGAGAGGACCGGGAUGGACAUACCUCUGGUGUACCAGUUGUCGUGCCAACGGCAUAGCUGGGUAGCUAUGUGUGGACGGGAUAAGUGCUGAAAGCAUCUAAGCAUGAAGUCCCCCUCAAGAUGAGAUUUCCCAACUUCGGUUAUAAGAUCCCUCAAAGAUGAUGAGGUUAAUAGGUUCGAGGUGGAAGCAUGGUGACAUGUGGAGCUGACGAAUACUAAUCGAUCGAAGACUUAAUCAA
This 2921-nucleotide ribosomal RNA is filed under the name Staphylococcus aureus PLAC6012. Its description in RNAcentral is "bacterial LSU rRNA". It matches the Rfam family "Bacterial large subunit ribosomal RNA". Lineage: Bacteria; Bacillati; Bacillota; Bacilli; Caryophanales; Staphylococcaceae. The record is from RNAcentral.